This 484-nucleotide ribosomal RNA is filed under the name uncultured bacterium. Its description in RNAcentral is "partial 16S ribosomal RNA". It matches the Rfam family "Bacterial small subunit ribosomal RNA", at positions 30 to 507 of the family's 1533-position model. The record is from RNAcentral.
AUUGAACGCUGGCGGCAGGCCUAACACAUGCAAGUCGAGCGGAUGAAGGGAGCUUGCUCCUGGAUUCAGCGGCGGACGGGUGAGUAAUGCCUAGGAAUCUGCCUGGUAGUGGGGGAUAACGUCCGGAAACGGGCGCUAAUACCGCAUACGUCCUGAGGGAGAAAGUGGGGGAUCUUCGGACCUCACGCUAUCAGAUGAGCCUAGGUCGGAUUAGCUAGUUGGUGGGGUAAAGGCCUACCAAGGCGACGAUCCGUAACUGGUCUGAGAGGAUGAUCAGUCACACUGGAACUGAGACAGGGUCCAGACUCCUACGGGAGGCAGCAGUGGGGAAUAUUGGGCAAUGGGGGAAAGCCUGAUCCAGCCAAGCCGCGUGUGUGAAGAAGGUCUUCGGAUUGUAAAGCACUUUAAGUUGGGAGGAAGGGCAGUAAGUUAAUACCUUGCUGUUUUGACGGUACCAACAGAAUAAGCACCGGCUAACUUCGUG